This 456-nucleotide ribosomal RNA is filed under the name uncultured microorganism. Its description in RNAcentral is "bacterial SSU rRNA". It matches the Rfam family "Archaeal small subunit ribosomal RNA", at positions 330 to 745 of the family's 1478-position model. The record is from RNAcentral.
GUGCACCAGGCGCGAAACCUCCGCAAUGCUCGAAAGAGCGACGGGGGGACUCCAAGUGCCUACGCUCAGCGUAGGCUGUUCCCGAGCCUAAAAAGCUCGGGGAGUAAGGGCUGGGUAAGACGGGUGCCAGCCGCCGCGGUAAUACCCGCAGCCCGAGUGGUGGCCGCUAUUAUUGGGCCUAAAGCGUCCGUAGCCGGCUCGGUAAAUGCCUGGGUAAAUCGUCUGGCCCAACCAGACGAAUUCCGGGUAGACUGCCGGGCUAGGGACCGGAGGAGGGAGAGGGGUACUCCAGGGGUAGGGGUGAAAUCAGCAAGGUGAGUUGCUGAUGUAACUUGCCUUGCAAGUCACAAUCCUGUAAUCCCUGGAGGACCACCGGUGGCGAAGGCGCUCUCCCAGGACGGUCGACGGUGAGGGACGAAAGCCAGGGGAGCAAACCGGAUUAGAUACCCCGGUAGU